RNAcentral lists this ribosomal RNA (532 nucleotides) under Veloporphyrellus alpinus. Its description in RNAcentral is "partial small subunit ribosomal RNA". It matches the Rfam family "Bacterial small subunit ribosomal RNA", at positions 348 to 916 of the family's 1533-position model. Lineage: Eukaryota; Fungi; Basidiomycota; Agaricomycetes; Boletales; Boletaceae. The record is from RNAcentral.
UCAGCAGUCAAGAAUAUUAGUCAAUGCUCGCAAGAGUGAACUAGCUAACUGAAAUCUUAAAUUUUAUUUUAAGAUAAGGUAAGAGAAAAUAAUGAUAUUAUCUUACUAUUAGUGUCGUCUAAAUUUGGUGCCAGAAGACUCGGUAAGACCUUAGACGCAAACGUUAAUCGUCAUAAUCAGGCGUAAAGGGUGUGUAGGCGGCUUUUAAAAAAAAUAUAAUUAUAGCUAAUGAAUUAUAUUCCAAUAAAAGCUAGAAUCUAAAAGAGGGUAAGCUAAACAACAUAAUUAAUUGGGACUGACAACUUAUAAUAAUGUGGAGUACUAAAGGUUAAAGCUAUUUAUCUACUUAAGAUUGACGCUGAGAAACGAAGGGGAGAAUAAGAAACUUAGAUUAGAGACCUAAUUAUCUCUCUCAGUCAACGAUGAAUGGUAGUUAUUAAAAUAAAAUAAAAUUAUUAGUGACGAGGUUAACACGAUGACCAUUCCGCCUUGUUAGUAAGACUGCAAAGUUGAAAACAAAAAAAAUUAGUCC